RNAcentral lists this ribosomal RNA (497 nucleotides) under uncultured bacterium. Its description in RNAcentral is "partial 16S ribosomal RNA". It matches the Rfam family "Bacterial small subunit ribosomal RNA", at positions 28 to 507 of the family's 1533-position model. The record is from RNAcentral.
GAUGAACGCUGGCGGCGUGCCUAAUACAUGCAAGUCGAGCGAACAGACGAGGAGCUUGCUCCUCUGACGUUAGCGGCGGACGGGUGAGUAACACGUGGAUAACCUACCUAUAAGACUGGGAUAACUUCGGGAAACCGGAGCUAAUACCGGAUAACAUGGUGAACCGCAUGGUUCAACAGUGAAAGACGGUCUUGCUGUCACUUAUAGAUGGAUCCGCGCCGCAUUAGCUAGUUGGUAAGGUAACGGCUUACCAAGGCAACGAUGCGUAGCCGACCUGAGAGGGUGAUCGGCCACACUGGAACUGAGACACGGUCCAGACUCCUACGGGAGGCAGCAGUAGGGAAUCUUCCACAAUGGGCGAAAGCCUGACGGAGCAACGCCGCGUGAGUGAAGAAGGUCUUCGGAUCGUAAAACUCUGUUAUUAGGGAAGAACAACUGUGUAAGUAACUAUGCACGUCUUGACGGUACCUAAUCAGAAAGCCACGGCUAACUACGUG